Molecule: ribosomal RNA, 749 nt
Filed under: Staphylococcus haemolyticus
Lineage: Bacteria; Bacillati; Bacillota; Bacilli; Caryophanales; Staphylococcaceae
Description: bacterial SSU rRNA
Rfam family: Bacterial small subunit ribosomal RNA
Source: RNAcentral
AUACAUGCAAGUCGAGCGAACAGACAAGGAGCUUGCUCCUUUGACGUUAGCGGCGGACGGGUGAGUAACACGUGGGUAACCUACCUAUAAGACUGGGAUAACUUCGGGAAACCGGAGCUAAUACCGGAUAAUAUUUCGAACCGCAUGGUUCGAUAGUGAAAGAUGGUUUUGCUAUCACUUAUAGAUGGACCCGCGCCGUAUUAGCUAGUUGGUAAGGUAACGGCUUACCAAGGCGACGAUACGUAGCCGACCUGAGAGGGUGAUCGGCCACACUGGAACUGAGACACGGUCCAGACUCCUACGGGAGGCAGCAGUAGGGAAUCUUCCGCAAUGGGCGAAAGCCUGACGGAGCAACGCCGCGUGAGUGAUGAAGGUCUUCGGAUCGUAAAACUCUGUUAUUAGGGAAGAACAUACGUGUAAGUAACUAUGCACGUCUUGACGGUACCUAAUCAGAAAGCCACGGCUAACUACGUGCCAGCAGCCGCGGUAAUACGUAGGUGGCAAGCGUUAUCCGGAAUUAUUGGGCGUAAAGCGCGCGUAGGCGGUUUUUUAAGUCUGAUGUGAAAGCCCACGGCUCAACCGUGGAGGGUCAUUGGAAACUGGAAAACUUGAGUGCAGAAGAGGAAAGUGGAAUUCCAUGUGUAGCGGUGAAAUGCGCAGAGAUAUGGAGGAACACCAGUGGCGAAGGCGACUUUCUGGUCUGUAACUGACGCUGAUGUGCGAAAGCGUGGGGAUCAAACAGGAUUAAA